UGACCUCAAAUCAGACAAGGCUACCCGCCCAAUUUA
This 36-nucleotide ribosomal RNA is filed under the name Fabomonas tropica. Its description in RNAcentral is "partial 28S ribosomal RNA". The record is from RNAcentral. Lineage: Eukaryota; Ancyromonadida; Planomonadidae.